GAUGAACGCUGGCGGCGUGCUUAACACAUGCAAGUCGAACGGAAAGGCCGAGACUUGCUUCGUUUCUCGUUUGGGGAACGGGUGUGUAACACGUGGGUGAUCCGCCCUGUACUUCGGGAUAAGCCUGCGAAACUGGGUCUCAUACCGGAUAUGACGAUCUCUUGGGCGGGGUUGUGUAAUGCUUUUGCGGUAUGGGAUGAGGUCGCGGAGUAUCAGCUUGUUGGUGGCGUCAUGGCCUACCAAGGCGUUGACGGGUAGCCGGCCUGCGAGGGUGUACGGACGCACUAGAACUGAGAUGCGGCCCAGACUCGGACGGGAGGCAGCAGUGGGGAAUAUUGCACGAUGGACGCAAGCAUGAGGCGGGGACGCCGCGUGGGCGAUGACGGCCUUCGGGUGGUAAACUCCUUUCGCAAUCGACGUAGGCUCUUGGUGACGGUAGGUUGAGAAGAAGCAACGGCUAACUACGUG
RNAcentral lists this ribosomal RNA (468 nucleotides) under uncultured bacterium. RNAcentral's name for it is "partial 16S ribosomal RNA". It matches the Rfam family "Bacterial small subunit ribosomal RNA", at positions 28 to 507 of the family's 1533-position model. The record is from RNAcentral.